UCGUUUAGAGCAUUCCUAUAGCGAUCCCAAGUCAUUUAUGACUUGCUGGGACUGACAGUUCGGUCACCUGGUCGUUCGUUUGGUCUUGGUGCGAGUUUUUGUGUUUUGGAGCUUAUGAACCUUGAAUAAUCAUUUUCGAUCAAAAGUUCAAGAAGAUGAUAUCGGAAUCCAAUUCUGACGAUUCCAUCAGCUCCGAAAGGGUCAUUUUAGGCUAGUAGCAUGGUCGACAUGACUCCCGAGGUUUUC
Molecule: long non-coding RNA, 246 nt
Filed under: Solanum tuberosum (potato)
Lineage: Eukaryota; Viridiplantae; Streptophyta; Magnoliopsida; Solanales; Solanaceae
Description: long non-coding RNA (STUB_LNC002696)
Source: RNAcentral